GGGCGAGNRNCCUGAACCAGCCAAGUAGCGUGAAGAAUGACUGCCCUAUGGGUUGUAAACUUCUUUUAUAUGGGAAUAAAGUGAUCCACGUGUGGAUUUUUGUAUGUACCAUAUGAAUAAGGAUCGGCUAACUCCGUGCCAGCAGCCGCGGUAAUACGGAGGAUCCNARMRWWANCCGGAUUUAUUGGGUUUAAAGGGAGCGUAGAUGGAUGUUUAAGUCAGUUGUGAAAGUUUGCGGCUCAACCGUAAAAUUGCAGUUGAUACUGGAUAUCUUGAGUGCAGUUGAGGCAGGCGGAAUUCGUGGUGUAGCGGUGAAAUGCUUAGAUAUCACGAAGAACUCC
Molecule: ribosomal RNA, 341 nt
Filed under: uncultured bacterium
Lineage: Bacteria
Description: partial 16S ribosomal RNA
Rfam family: Bacterial small subunit ribosomal RNA
Source: RNAcentral